GCUGCCUGUUUCAUCCCUAGGCAAAGCAUGCCUUUUCCUUCCUUCAGCCGCUUCCUGGAAGGUCCCAGUUCCUAAAAGAACUUAAUAUAACUUGAGCUCAGUCCUGUAGUUGACCAAACGCUCUGUUCCAUUAGCUGUGCCUGACAGGAGCAGUGGUGCUUGAUUUAUGCCAGAUUUCAUGUUCUGUUGGCCCACAAUACCAAACAUGACUUCAACAUCUUGUGUCCAUAUUUUGCUCAGACUCUUUGACAUGAGCUUGGGAGAGCUGAUCUGGGCAGCAGAAGGUUGCCCAGUCCCUUGCCUAGCUUCCAGCUGUGGAUGCUGUACAUCUACAAAGGGCAAUUGCACCUUCAACUGAGACUUGAGGAAUCCUUGUCAUGGGAAGAAAAGCACAGAAGGUGAUGUGCUUCUGGUCACCUGAUGACUUACAAGGUCUCUUUCUUCUCACAUUAUCCUUUCAGUGCAUGGAUGAGAGGAAGGAAAAGGCUGCUCAAACUGGCAGGUUCUCCCAACCAUGUGUCCUUCUGGCAGCUGUGUGGAUGUGAUGGGGAUGGAAGCCCAGGACAGCCCAGUGAUGGAUAAGGUCUUCUGGAUGUUCUUUUAGGUUUUUGCAAAAGCCUUGCAAAGAAACUGCAAGGUCUCGGCAAGAAGACUGAUUUUGCAUCAGAUCCAAGCCUCAGAGAGCCUGCAAGCCCUGAGGUACAGCCAACCCACAGGGAAUGAGUCUGAAGGGUACUGUUUGGCAACAGUGGAACCCAAGAGAGUGUUUAGCUGUAGAUGCAAUAGGAAUUGUUCCUGCAGUUUAUUUUUACAUGCUUAGAGGGUGAAUGAGUUUGGAAGAUUUGGAGAGAAUCAGAGAAUUAGCAGAAUGAAUUAUUAUUGGUUAUUUAUACAAAAUAACAAAUAUAUUUCCUGGUACAACAUUGUGUGUCCAGGGAUGAUGAGAGGUGCUUUUGCAGAAAUGCUGGUGGGGAAAUAUUUAAAAGAAGAUCUUUUUGCCCAAUAAGGAAGAGACCAAGAUACAGAAAAGUUCCCCAAUAUGGAGGCACCAGGGAAAGACUGACCUGUAGCAGGGAAACCUAGGCAGGAGAUGCUGAGAGUCUGGCAGGAGAGGAGUGUGAAGCCCCAUUCCUGGCCAGUUUGGUUUGAAGGACUAAGGUUUAUGUGGCUAAUCUUUUCAUGUCAGCUAUCCCACUGUGCAAGAGAGCUAUAGUGUACCCCUAUGAGGACAUUUCACCUGUAGAAACAAGACAGGACCUGGCACCAAGGGACCCUGUUUGGAAGCACGUGGUGGAGACGAAAUCAACACUGAAAGACUGUGAAAAAUAAAUGUACAAAGAUGUUC
Neopelma chrysocephalum (saffron-crested tyrant-manakin) is the source of this 1345-nucleotide long non-coding RNA. RefSeq lists it as uncharacterized. The transcript has 5 exons. The record is from RefSeq and is a predicted model, not a curated record. NCBI's taxonomy places the organism in Eukaryota, Metazoa, Chordata, Aves, Passeriformes, Pipridae.